RNAcentral lists this ribosomal RNA (292 nucleotides) under uncultured Glomeromycotina. RNAcentral's name for it is "partial large subunit ribosomal RNA". Lineage: Eukaryota; Fungi; Glomeromycota. The record is from RNAcentral.
UUGAAAGGGAAACGAUUGAAGUCAGUUGUACCUGUGGGUAAUCAGCUUUUGGGUGUGAUUAUGUGGAGUGUGAAGAGUUAAAGCUUUAUGNUGAUAUUGUGAUUUGGGUGUAUUUACGUGUGGUAAGUUAAAUAAUUUUGGUGUAUAGAAUGGUGGAGGAAUGUAGUUGAUUGUAUUGAAGUGUUAUAGNUUGGUAGAUGUGGUGAUGGGAUUGAGGAUUGAAGAUACCUUUGGGGCUAACNGUUAGAUAAAUUGAUGGUCGAUGGGUUAAUUCGUUAAGGAUGUUGACGUA